Molecule: ribosomal RNA, 683 nt
Filed under: uncultured bacterium
Lineage: Bacteria
Description: bacterial SSU rRNA
Rfam family: Bacterial small subunit ribosomal RNA
Source: RNAcentral
CCCUUAGAGUUUGAUCCUGGCUCAGGACGAACGCUGGCGGCGUGCUUAACACAUGCAAGUCGAACGAGGCCCCACCUUCGGGUGGGUGUUCUAGUGGCGAACGGGUGAGUAACACGUGGGCAACCUGCCCCCGGCUCUGGGAUAACUCCAAGAAAUUGGGGCUAAUACCGGAUAUGACCGCUGGCCGCAUGGUCUGGUGGUGGAAAGUUUUUCGGCUGGGGAUGGGCCCGCGGCCUAUCAGCUUGUUGGUGGGGUAGUGGCCUACCAAGGCGACGACGGGUAGCCGGCCUGAGAGGGUGACCGGCCACACUGGGACUGAGACACGGCCCAGACUCCUACGGGAGGCAGCAGUGGGGAAUAUUGCGCAAUGGGCGGAAGCCUGACGCAGCGACGCCGCGUGGGGGAUGACGGCCUUCGGGUUGUAAACCUCUUUCAGCAGGAACGAAGCCGCGAGGUGACGGUACCUGCAGAAGAAGCACCGGCCAACUACGUGCCAGCAGCCGCGGUAAUACGUAGGGUGCAAGCGUUGUCCGGAAUUAUUGGGCGUAAAGAGCUCGUAGGCGGUUCGUCGCGUCGGCUGUGAAAACCCGGAGCUCAACUCCGGGCCUGCAGUCGAUACGGGCGGACUUGAGUGUUGCAGGGGAGACUGGAAUUCCUGGUGUAGCGGUGAAAUGCGCAGAUAU